AAACCGUUCAGGGGUAAACCUGAGGAACCCGAAAGAUCGAAUGGGAAGAUUCAGCGUCAGCGGCGCUUGCUCGGCGGGAUCGUGCGUCGUCUCGGAUCGGAUUCUUCGGUCCUGGGAUGACGUUAAUCUUUCCAUGCCUUGUUUCGGCGUCGUCGUCGUGCACUUCUUCCCUAGUAGAACGUCGCGACCCGUUGGGUGCCGGUCUACGGUACGAGCGGGUUAGACUGUCGCGUCGCUUAGGCGCACGCGGCAGACCCUCGUUAAUCCGGCCGGCUGCCCGGCGGUCGAACUUUAUAAGGUAUCUUGCCGCAAUUGAACUAAAUGCGUCGCGGCCCGUCGCAAGCGAGGUCAGUUAAGCGUUCAUCGCGCGCGCGGAGUUACGGACCCGGUGCCGUACCCGCGGCUGGCCGGCUGUUGGCAGACGGAGUCCUUCGACGGGCAAUACACACAAACGAUACCGGUCUGCGACGCUACUGCUUUGGGUACUCUCAGGACCCGUCUUGAAACACGGACCAAGGAGUCUAACAUGUGCGCGAGUCAUUGGGACUGCGAAGCCUAAAGGCGAAAUGAAAGUGAAGGUCGCGCCAACCAAGGUCGACCGAGGGAGGAUGGGCCGCGUUUGCGCGCGGCUCCGCACUCCCGGGGCGUCUCGUUCUCAUUGCGAGAAGAGGCGCACCCAGAGCGUACACGUUGGGACCCGAAAGAUGGUGAACUAUGCCUGGUCAGGACGAAGUCAGGGGAAACCCUGAUGGAGGUCCGUAGCGAUUCUGACGUGCAAAUCGAUCGUCGGAACUGGGUAUAGGGGCGAAAGACUAAUCGA
RNAcentral lists this ribosomal RNA (820 nucleotides) under Metapolybia cingulata. Its description in RNAcentral is "eukaryotic LSU rRNA". It matches the Rfam family "Eukaryotic large subunit ribosomal RNA", at positions 402 to 938 of the family's 3401-position model. Lineage: Eukaryota; Metazoa; Arthropoda; Insecta; Hymenoptera; Vespidae. The record is from RNAcentral.